Molecule: ribosomal RNA, 328 nt
Filed under: uncultured Glomeromycotina
Lineage: Eukaryota; Fungi; Glomeromycota
Description: LSU rRNA
Source: RNAcentral
UUGAAAGGGAAACGAUUGAAGUCAGUCGUGCUGGCGCGAAAUCAACCUUCUCGUCUUGAGAUCACAUGGCGUGGCGAGCCUCAAAACCGUCACGAAGCGUGAACUCUUGGUGAAAUGGAGCACUUUUCGCGUCCGCUGGCUAACAUCAAUUUCGAACGUCAUAAAAAGGCUGGAGGGAUGUGGCUCCUUCGGGAGUGUUAUAACCUUUAGCGGAAUGUGGUGUUCGGGAUUGAGGAUUGCAACGAAUACCUUUAGGGCUGUUCCACCUGGCUUCUCUUUGGUAUCCUGGUGACGACAGCUUGCUGACGUCGUUAAGGAUGUUGACGUA